AGCAGCCGCGGUAAUUCCAGCUCCAAUAGCGUAUAUUAAAGUUGUUGCAGUUAAAAAGCUCGUAGUUGAACUUCGGGGUUCACCCAUUGGUCAGGCUUAAUUGUCUGUACUGGUGAGAUGAAUCUCUACCUUCUGAGGAACUUUCAUGCCAUUUAUUUGGUGUGAUGGGAAAUCAGGACUGUUACUUUGAAAAAUUAGAGUGUUUAAAGCAGGCUAACGUCUGAAUACAUUAGCAUGGAAUAAUGAAAUAGGACGGAUUGAUUCUAUUUCGUUGGUUUCUAGGGUCACCGUAAUGAUUAAUAGGGAUAGUUGGGGGCAUUAGUAUUCAAUUGUCAGAGGUGAAAUUCUUGGAUUUAUUGAAGACUAACUACUGCGAAAGCAUUUGCCAAGGAUGUUUUCAUUAAUCAAGAACGAAAGUUAGGGGAUCGAAGACGAUCAGAUACCGUCGUAGUCUUAACCAUAAACUAUGCCGACUAGGGAUCGGACGAAGUUAAUUAAUAAUGACGCGUUCGGCACCUUA
This 520-nucleotide unclassified non-coding RNA is filed under the name uncultured Diversispora. Its description in RNAcentral is "SSU rRNA". It matches the Rfam family "Eukaryotic small subunit ribosomal RNA", at positions 569 to 1090 of the family's 1831-position model. The record is from RNAcentral. Lineage: Eukaryota; Fungi; Glomeromycota; Glomeromycetes; Diversisporales; Diversisporaceae.